AGCCCUAGAUAUUAUCUAAGGUGUAACCUGCCCAAUGAUUUUAAAUUAAAUAAAUAAAAGUUAUGAAAUAAAAUUAAAAGGACGCGGUAACCUUGACCGUGAUAAUGUAGCAUAAUCAUUCGCCAUUUAAUUGAUGGAUAGUAUGAAUGGUUGAACGAAUAUUUCACUGUCUUAAAAAGAAAUAACAAAAAAUUGGAAUAAUAGUAAAGAUACUAUUUAAGAUUGUAAGACGAAAAGACCCUAUAGAGCUUGACUAUAAUCUCUUUAAAUUAAAAGAAAUAUUUUCAAAAACAAAGAGAUUGGUAGUUUAGUUGGGGCGACUAUCUUUUAAAACUAACAAAGAUAAGCAAAGUAAAUAAAAACACUUAUUGUAUAAUUAAUUAAUUUAACAAUUAUAAAAAUAGGCUAUAAUGACCCGUUAUAAUUUAAUAAAUAAAAAUAACGAUCAAUAAAUAAAAGCUACCUUAGGGAUAACAGGAUAAUUUUAUUUUAGAGAUCUUAUCGAAAAUAAAGUUUGUCACCUCUAUGUUGAAUUAAGAUAUCCUGACAAUGCAGAAGUUGUCAAAGGUGGGUCUGUUCGACCCUUAAAAUCUUA
This 595-nucleotide ribosomal RNA is filed under the name Amphisbetia minima. RNAcentral describes it as "partial 16S ribosomal RNA". It matches the Rfam family "Bacterial large subunit ribosomal RNA", at positions 1832 to 2598 of the family's 2925-position model. The record is from RNAcentral. Lineage: Eukaryota; Metazoa; Cnidaria; Hydrozoa; Leptothecata; Sertulariidae.